GAUAAACGCUGGCGGCGUGCCUAACACAUGCAAGUCGAACGAUCCCGCAAGGGAGAGUGGCGGAAGGGUGAGUAACACGUGGGAAUCUACCUCCUCGCAGGGAACAACCUCUCGAAAGAGAGGCUAAUACCCAAAAGGGUCAGAAAUGAUCAGAGUCGAAAGGCGUGAGGAGAGGAGCCCGCGGCCCAUCAGCUAGUUGGUGAGGUAAUGGCUUACCAAGGCUACGACGGGUAGGGGAUCUGAGAGGAUGUCCCCCCACACUGGAACUGAAACACGGUCCAGACGCCUACGGGUGGCAGCAGUGAGGAAUAUUGGACAAUGGGCGAAAGCCCGAUCCAGCAACGCCGCGUGGAGGAUGAAGGCCUUCGGGUCGUAAACUUCUUUAGAGGGAGACGAGAAAGGACGGUAUCCCUAGAAUAAGCGACGGCAAACUACGUGCCAGCAGCCGCGGUAAU
This 455-nucleotide ribosomal RNA is filed under the name uncultured bacterium. Its description in RNAcentral is "bacterial SSU rRNA". It matches the Rfam family "Bacterial small subunit ribosomal RNA", at positions 28 to 524 of the family's 1533-position model. The record is from RNAcentral.